This is a non-coding RNA of Anas platyrhynchos (mallard), 3236 nucleotides long. The record is from RefSeq and is a predicted model, not a curated record. Lineage: Eukaryota; Metazoa; Chordata; Aves; Anseriformes; Anatidae.
UUUGUUUGUUUGUUUUUGUUUUUUAGCUCAACUAAGCCAAUUUCAAGGUUCACAAACAAUCAAUACACAUUUGGUAGAGGAGGCAGAAGGACAGAGACAGCAGCAAACCUGAUGCAGAAGGGCAGACAGAAGCAGGGAAAUAGGGCAAGAUCUUCCCAAACCAGAUCUGCUGAAGAAAAAUAUGUCUAUCUUAGGGUUGCCAAGACAGUGAAGGAUCUAGAGGGGAAGAUGUAUGAGGAGCAACAAGAAGCUGUCUCAGGGGAGGUUCAGAUAGGAUAUUAAGAAAAGGUUCUUCACUAAGUGGGCAGUUGGGCACUGGAACAGGAUUCCCAAGGAAUUGGUCACAGCAUCAAGUCUCUCGGAGUUCAAGAAAUGAUUGGACACUUCUCUCAGGUUUGAUUUUUCAGUGGUCCUUUGCGGAGCCAGAAGUUGGACUCAAUGAUCCUUUGGCAUCUCUUCCAGCUCAGGAUACUCUAUGUUUCUAUGGCUCUAUUCUGAAACUAGUGUACCUCUGGAGUGUGCAGCAUAGGAUUGCACAAGCGAUGAGUAAGUUGAUGAUUAGUAGCAAACAAUACAUAAAAUGUGUUUAGCAUAAUGCAUGUACUAACCCACUGUUUUACAGUAUCUAAUACUAAACAUUUUAAUUUUUAAGAGUAAUUUCAAGAAAUAGGGUAUAUCUCAAAAAAAAAAAAAAAAAAAAAAAAAAGAAUCAACUAUCUAAUUAACAUUUUAUAGAUCAUUGUAAAAUAUGAUUAAUUUGGUUAGAUAGAGACCCAGACUUCAGGGUGGCAGAAAUAUGUGCUGUUACUGAUUUUACUCUGAGUAUUAGCGCAUCACAGUUGUGUUUGUGAGAUCUGGAUUCAAAGCAGCUACAGGUACUCAGAAGCAAGUGUUAGGUUUCACUGAAAGCAAGGAAGAGUAAAACAACUCAGUAGAAACAAAGUUUCACAUUGGCAGGAUGCUGCCAAUGAGCUGAUCGGAAGCACCCUGACUCUGAGAUAUAGUGAUUUUCCACUCCUAAAGCCUGAUGAACCAGGAAAUAUAAAAUUCUUUAAGAGAUUAUAGAUAUAUUUAGAGGACUUGAAUUUACUCCUGAAAUUAUUGUUAUUUGUAUUUUUAGAACAAUGACAAAGUGGAUAUGACUUUCCUGGUUAACAUAGGAAAUCCUACUACAAAUACUUGGACCGCUCUCAUGAGCCAGGUGAUCAAAAAGUUUGCAUACUAUACUGCUAGGCACAUUGCAAUAAUUCUGUUUUAUUCAAUUUCCAUUUACACAUACAUUACUUUAUAUAUAUAUAUAUAUACAUAUAUAUAUAGGAUAUAUAUAUAUAUCCAAAGGAAAAAUUUAAGCCAGUGUGAAUUCUUCAGAGAAACAAGGCAGAAAGACAGCACUCAAUAUAGCCAUAAAAACAUGGAUAUUAUAAUUCCACAAAAAAUGGGGACUUGAGUUACUUGCUGUAUAAAUUAGGUUUGGAAAUAAAUGAGCUACCUUUUAUUGUUUAGCUCUUCUGUGAUAAGUUUCCCUUCCACAUGGAUUGAAGAAACGUAUGAGACAUUCCUUUCCUUGUAAGGACAUAGAUAAAUAAUAAAUGACAGACAGCAUGAGUUUAACCACAGCUUUAGAUGUCAGAAUGAUUAAAUUUAUAGAUAAAGAAAAUGUGUUACAAGUAAUCUAUCUAAACCUUAAUAUUAAUUAUUUGACACAUAUAGGAAACUACUAGUUAAUCUGUAGAAAAUGGUGGUAAAAAACUCUAAUGAUAGAUUAGAGUUAGAUUAGUAGUUAGAACUACUUAAAGGGCACUUACCAAAGACAUUGCAAAAGAAAAAGGAACAUCUGGGCCGGAGGCUUCUUAUCUAAUAUUAAUGACUUCCCAUAAAAAAGCAGGAGGUGCUGUUUUUUUUUUGUUUGUUUGUUUUGUUUUGUUUUUUUGUUUGUUUGUUUGUGUUGUUUGUUUGUUUUGGUAACAGGAAGUUGGAAGCCAUCAGAUUGAAGGGCAAUAGAACAUCAACCAUGAAGAUGAACAAGAUGACCUUGAGGAUGAUGGUAUAUUUAAAGAGUUACAGAGGUGCUUCUGACUCGGUGAGAAUGGGUACCUGCAGAACCACCUUAGCUGCUCCCCUCUGAAAGAUGUUGCACAUUCCAGAACAUUAUCAGGCUCUGAGUCAUAUCUCCAUUUUCUAAGAAGUACCUGUAUCAGGAACAACCCUCAGGAAUAAAGGAAAGCUGUUCUGCGCUUCAGAGGUUGGAAAGUUAGCAGAGAUGAGUAUGAUGGAGGUCAUGGGCCUGACUGCUUUGCACCACUCGGCCAGGCCUGCAACCUGCCUGUGCUCCUGCAACUCACUAGCACAUGCACAAGGGUGUUUUUUUUAUUUGUUUGCUUGUUUUAUUUUUUUUUUUAAUGGAACUGUAAAAUAAGGUAUGAUUUUGAUGUAACUAAUAUAUAUGGUUCUGAAACUUAAAACUGUUAGUUGUUUUGUGUUGUGGCUGCUAGGGUGAAUUCAUUAAGUCUGAGACGAGGUGCUUAUUGUGCUUUAUGAACAAAUUAGUAAGGAAAGAAAUGGGAAAAGUAAUUAUUUAUGUUACCGUAAAGAAAAAUCUUUUAAAUAAAGAUUAAUGUUCAAAUUGUUUAAUAUUGUUGACAUGUAGUUCAAGCAUUCCCUUAUACACGAAUAAUAAAUGCCUAUUUCUUUGUAUAGCUUGUCAGCAUAUAUUGCUUUCUGAUGUUUAUGGUAAAACAUCAACACAAAACCUCAGUAUAUCAGGUCUCUUGUGUUUUAACCCAUUUAGUGGAUACGGUUCUAUCAAAGUAACACUGUACUAGGAAAAAUGCGCAGUAUCUUUUCCACUUGAUAAGACUACCCUUCAGGGAUCCUCAUGUAUUGAAACAGUUACGCAUGCCCCACAGGCUAUUUUAUUUUUUCCUCCUACUUCUAGACCCUCAUUUAUUUUUGUUUUUAACAGAAUUUAAAAUUAAAAUUUUUAGAACAGAUAAAACAGACAAGUGCUCACUGAUGCUUUUAGAAAAAUCCUUCUUUUGAAUGCAAAAGCUGUUGCAGUUCACGCUAUCCAUAGCAGAUCACACAGAAAAGUCUAACAAGCUUCUGUUGAAGCAGUGAGCUUUUUUUAUUAUUAUUAUUCCAGUCAGUCAACUGACAACAGCUCCAACCCAGUUAGAAAUCCUUUAAACUGCACUUCGGAAAUCACCAUCACAAUUGCUACUAAUUGGCACUUUUGU